This 866-nucleotide ribosomal RNA is filed under the name uncultured Actinomycetes bacterium. RNAcentral describes it as "bacterial SSU rRNA". It matches the Rfam family "Bacterial small subunit ribosomal RNA", at positions 56 to 918 of the family's 1533-position model. Lineage: Bacteria; Bacillati; Actinomycetota; Actinomycetes. The record is from RNAcentral.
UGCAAGUCGUGCGGAAAGGCUCCUUCGGGAGCACUCGAGCGGCGCACGGGUGAGUAACGCGUGGGUAAUCUGCCUUCGGGUCCGGGACAACUUCGGGAAACUGGAGCUAAUACCGGAUAAGACUACGGGACCCUCGGGUCCUGCGGAAAAAGGUGGCCUCUGCUUGCAAGCUACCGCCUGUUGAUGAGCCUGCGUCCCAUUAGCUAGUUGGUGGGGUAACGGCCCACCAAGGCGACGAUGGGUAGCUGGUCUGAGAGGAUGAUCAGCCACACUGGAACUGAGACACGGUCCAGACUCCUACGGGAGGCAGCAGUCGGGAAUUUUGGGCAAUGGGCGAAAGCCUGACGCAGCGACGCCGCGUGAGGGAUGACGGCCUUCGGGUUGUAAACCUCUUUCAGCCCUGACGAAGCGAAAGUGACGGUAGGGGCAGAAGAAGCACCGGCCAACUACGUGCCAGCAGCCGCGGUAAUACGUAGGGUGCAAGCGUUGUCCGGAAUUAUUGGGCGUAAAGAGCUCGUAGGCGGUCUGUCGCGUCGGCUGUGAAAACUCGGGGCUCAACCCCGAGCUUGCAGUCGAUACGGGCAGGCUGGAGUUCGGCAGGGGAGACUGGAAUUCCUGGUGUAGCGGUGAAAUGCGCAGAUAUCAGGAGGAACACCGGUGGCGAAGGCGGGUCUCUGGGCCGAUACUGACGCUGAGGAGCGAAAGCGUGGGGAGCGAACAGGAUUAGAUACCCUGGUAGUCCACGCCGUAAACGUUGGGCGCUAGGUGUGGGAUCCCUUCCACGGGUUCCGUGCCGCAGCUAACGCAUUAAGCGCCCCGCCUGGGGAGUACGGCCGCGAGGCUAAAACUCAAAUGAAUUGACGGGG